Molecule: long non-coding RNA, 12654 nt
Filed under: Homo sapiens (human)
Lineage: Eukaryota; Metazoa; Chordata; Mammalia; Primates; Hominidae
Description: non-protein coding lnc-PDYN-1:8
Source: RNAcentral
AGACCGCGCGGGAGAGAGGACCGCGCGAGCAGGGGCGAGGGGCAGCACGGCCGAGCCCGGCCGCGCGGAGCCGCCCCCGCCGCUGCCCACCUGCCCCGCCCGGGCUCCACACGGCGCGGGCGGCUGGGCUCGCUCCCGGCCCGCAGUCCCGGCCGCUGCCCCCGCCCUCCCGGCAGCCCGACCCCCUCCCUCCUUCCCUUUCCCCUCCUCCCGUCUUCCCGCCGCCCGGGGAGGCUUCGGGGCUCCGGCCCCGCCGGCACCUUCUCUGCGAGCGAGCGCCCGCCUGCGCGCCCCGGGGGAGGGAGCGAGGGCUGCGAGCUGCGCGCCCGGCCGGGGAGGGCAGCGUCCUCCCCCGCGCCGGCGCCCGGGCCCCGGCUGCUGUCCCGGGAAGGCGGCCCCGCGAGCCGCCGCGGCCCGCUGGGGCUCGGGACUAGACGAGCCUCCGGCUCCGACAGCGUGCCCGUUCAGAAGCCCGCGCGGCUGGUCCCCAGCCCCGACCGGUCCCGCUCUGCCCCUCCCCGUCCCUGCCGGGCCCGGACCUGCGCCGCCCGCGAGGGCUGGAAGGCACUGGAAGCGCCGCCGGGGCUGCCCAGAGGCCGGGUCCCCGCUCCACUUUGCGCAAACUUGUUUUUCUAAGGUCAGCGCUGCGAGCUGGCUACAUCGUCCUCUUAAGGUGGACCGGGGAAGUUGCGGCCGACCUCCCCUCGCCUCCGGACUCCGGCCGCGCGGCUGCUCCCCGCUUCCCACUGGCGAGAGGCUGGAGGCGGCGAAGGAGUCGGGGCGCGGGGGCGCGGGGGGCGGGGGGGCGUCUGCCUUUUAACCCUCCCCAGGAGGUCGUGCCUCUGAGCCCCAAAGCUGAAGGCCCCUCUUGGGGGUGGGUGCGGGCCGGAGGGGCCCGAUCCUUUCAGAGCCGGGCCGAGGUGAAGGAAAAGAAGGAAGUCCUUUGAGAUACAUUAUCUCACUGAAGCCUCAGCAACUCCGCGGUGUUCCCAGAGGUGAGGAAACACACUGAGAGACAGAACACGACUUGACCAGGGCCACCCUGUGGGGCACGCUGGCACCUGCACAGCCCAGCUUCACCUGGUUCCAGCCCUGCCCGCGCUCUGCUCCCCACUUCCCGUAACCCUGGGCUGGCGUCAGCAGGCAGGCCUGCCAGGAGGCUGGAGCUGCCAACGACCUAUUUUUCUGGGCAAGAAGAGCCAUUUGGAGUUAGAGGUCUCAGCUGUGAAGCCAGAACAAUAAAAAUAAAAACAGCACGGACUCCUGGGCAGCCUGGACCAGGGAACCAACUGCCCCAAGAGUUGCUGCUCACCAGGCUGGAAGAUGAGAAAACUGAGGUCCAGAUAAGCUGAGUCAUCCAAAGUCUCACAGCUACCAUGUGAACUGAGCCAGGAUUUGAACCCAGGCAUUCUGCCUCCAGAGCCCAGGCUGUUAACUGCUGCAUCAUGCUGGACAUGCUGCACCUGCCCCCAUUCCUACCCCAGGGGACCUCCUGUGUGCCAUGACGCUUCACAAUCAGAACCUCGCUUAAGCCUCAUGACAACUUUAUGCAUCUGGUCAUUUUGCAAAUCCAAUCAAUCAAUACGGAGCACUUGCUAUGUUCCUGAUGCUAAACUAGAUACCAGGGACACGGUGCAGAGGAUGAAGACAGAUAAGGACCCAUCUCUUGGGGAACUUACCGUCUAGAGAGAGAAGACAGCCAGACGAGGAGAGAGGCAAUCGUGGGCAGUGCAGGAGAACAGGAAACACAGGGGGCUUUGCAAGCACAGAAUAGGGACUCAGUAAAUAUUCGUGGUUGAAUGGAAAGCUCUUAGGAUAAUGGCUCUCAGGUAGCUCUCCAAUGUGCCAGCCUAUUGUGUUAGUUAGGGCAGGAUAACUGCUGUUACAGACAACCCCCAAAUCUCAGUGACUCAUAAUCUGUUUACUUGUCACUCAGGUCACAGUCCAGUGUAGGUCAACUCCUCAUGGUCACUCAGAGACCCAGGUCCUUCCAUCCAGGGGAGGGGAUCUUGAUUUCUUUUUUGAUCUUCUGCAUCCCCCGGCAGAGGAGAGGAAAAGACAGGGUGUGGAGGAGCAUGGGGGAGGUUUUAUGGGCAGGCCUGGAAGGGAUUCAUGGCCAAUUCACCUGGUCUUGUGUGGGGGUGUAGGUAGUGACCUAGGAGUGAAGGAAGGAGCAGUGUCAUGCCCAGCAGUUCCCCCAGGUGAAUUCAAUGGAGGAGAGGUGAUUUUCCUAAACAAUGAGGGUUACUUAGGAAGGGGGCAUGGAUUCUGGGUGGUCACAGCCUUCUAACCGGUAUAUAUUCACUGCAGUAUGCUAGUCAGGAUUCUUUUAGCUUCAACUGAUAAAAACCCAACUCAAACUACUUAAGGAAAAGAGGGAAUGUAUUGGUUCUGGUCUAGGAAGGUGGUUUCAGGAAUGGCUGGAUACAGGAACUCAACAGGGUCAUCUUUUCUGGUUGGCUUUAGCCUCCAGGCAGGCUGUCAAUGUGUGGUAGGGAAGCAGGCCACCAGCAGGUACACCCAAACAUGUAUGCAACAAGCCCAGCAAGGCUGGCAGGAGCGAGGCAUAUGUAUCAUUUAUCUGUGUACAUCUAUAAUAUGUAUGUCAUAUAUCAUGUAUCCUCUCUAUAUAUCAUAUAUCCAUGUACAUAUCACAUAUGUCAUAUAUUGUAUAUCCUAUAUAUAUCAUAUAUAUGUCAUAUAUCCUCUAUACACAUCAUACAUCCAUGUAUAUAUAUCUAUCAUAUACAUGUCAUAUACCUACAUAUAUUAUGUAUCCAUAUCUAUGCCACAUACUCAUCCCAGAAAAUCACUUUGGUCCUGAAUGGGACCCAUGACCACUCUUGUUUUGGUGAUCUUGAUGGAAACCCCAAGUUUACAUGGUGUGGAGGAGGGACCAUUUUCCGAAAAAGGGACUCAGACAGACAAUACCGUCAAGUUCGCUACAGGAGAGAUUACUAGAUCUUUCCAAGAACAUUGGGUCUAUCUCACAGUCCUAGGUGUCAAAAGGAAAAGAGAAAAGCAAGGUGUCAAAAGGAAAAAAGAGGAAACUUGAGAAAAAUAGGUGUCUAAUCUCUUUGUUAAUAGCCAAUUUCUAGGAGCCAGGUAUGGACUAUGUGAUUUUUAUGGCAUCUACAUAUAAUGUUGCUUUCUUCCUCACUUAAGUUCAGAAGCAGUAGGAGACCGAGGAGUCAAGAGGUGAGGAACAAAAUGUCAGCUUAUUACAGAUAAAGCUGUUUAGAGAACGUGGCUUGGGCAUGCAGGCAAAUGGAACUGCUAACACUGAUCCUCAGAGUUGGACAGCCUUACCUUUGCAAUCACAGGUAGAUGGAUAAACACAGACCUCUCCCCUCUGACUCCUGGGACAGAACAUGUCUUCACAGGUAGCUGAUCCCAGGUUGAGAGAGGGCUCCCCUCUUCAUACUCACCAAUCAUUCAGUCCAGGUUUGUUGCUCUGAUGGAGGCCACCCCAACCCCCAGCCCCUUUUCAAAUGUGCACCACAGUAGGGAAUGAGGCCAGGACCUGAGACCUGGCUGCCUGGUGGGUAGACCCUGGAAUGUACAAGCAAACAGCCCCUAAUGCCAGGAGCUCCUGGUUCCCGAGGAAACAGAUGAAAUUUGUGAUGGGCAGAGAGUCAGAGAAAGAAGCAUUCUUGUUUUCCUUUAUUUUUUCAAAAAUGACUAUUCGAAUAAUACAAUCCACUGUGAAAAUUUUAAAAGGAAAAAAAAGCCAGGAAAGAAUUGUAAAACUGCAAGCCACCUUCAAUUCCAUCAUCUGGUGUUAACUAUCAUUACAUGUUGGUGUAUAUCCCUUGGGCCUUUGUGAGUGUGUGUGUUUAAACAAAAUUAGAAUCUUGCUCUAUGCAUAAUUUUUUAUCUGGCUCUCUUUAACAUUCUAUAUAAAGCAUUUCAGCAUGUCCACAAGGCUGGAGGCAGCACGAGGGCAGGAACCAAGUCUGCUUGAUGAUUGCUGUCUCCCCAGGGCCUCCCAUGUGGACCAUGCUAAAAAACAAUAUUGCAGAAAAGAACGAUAUUCACAGGUAAUAUUGAUUAGGUGACUUCUAGGCAUCACCAUGCAUCAUCGAAUUACAUUCUUACAAGAUAAUGCAAUGGGCACCUCUAUGAACCAUACCUUGUAGAAGAGGAAACUGAGGCCAGGGGAGGUGAAGUAGCUCACACAAGGUCACCAUCAAUGUUAUAUCCCUGCAUGAACACAUCCUGUAUGUGCAUCUUCCUACUUGACACAUUUUCUUCUUGCCACUUUCCAGUUUUAAUCAGGGAUAGAGGGAAGCUCUGUUUACUUGAGAGAGGACUCUUUAUUUGGAAAGAAGGUCUAUCCCAUUAUGAGAGGGGGAUGUGCUGAGGACUGUCACCCAGCCUUUGAGCCCCAUUGGGAUUCUUUUUUUUUUUCUUAAUUUUUCUUAAGACAAGGUUUUGCUCUGUCACCCAGGCUGGAGUGCAGUGGUGGGAUCUUAGCUUACUGCAACCUCAAACUCCUGGCCUUAAGUGAUCCUCCUCCCUCAGCCUCCUUGCAGCAGGAGCCACAGCAUCCCACUGGGACCCUUAAGCAGCCUGGGCACAGGAUGGUGAUGGGUCUGUCCUCACUUGGGCCCUGUUGCCCAUGACCCACCUGUCCCAGCUGUGUGUGUCAGUGCGUCUGCCUCUCUGCCAGAUGUUGGAGUCUCCCAGUAUGCCCACUGACUAUCUUUCAGAAUUCCACAGGGGCAGAUGCUCUUAAUGCCCCACCUGAGUCCCCUUGGCAUUUCUUUUCUGUUUCAGGACACAUGGGCCCUGUGUCUGGCUGCUGGCACAUGAGUCUCUGCUUGAGGGUUUAUCUGGCACUGGACCCUGCUCACCAGGAAUUGAUGCCUCCUGGGAGUAGCCUCCAACCAAUUACUCUAGGAAUUGGCAUUGAGAUCCUCCAGCCUCCUACCCUUGAAGUGGGCAACUCUGAGGCACUCUCGGUGCCGUCUCGCAGAACUCCCAGGAGGACUGAGCUCCCGUGGCCCACGGUGCUAACUGGCUUUCUAAUAAACACUUUAUGAGCCUUCUUCCCUUCCCUGUCUCACUUCCCUCUCCCUCCUCCCCAUAUCAGUGCUUCCUGGGGUCACAUCUCAAAUAAGAUUGGAUCCUUGGCUCAAGGUUUGCUUCUUAGGGAACCCAAACCGACACUUUUUCACUCUUUUCUUCCCUGCAGCCACCACCCACCUGAAUUCCCCCACAGGCUUCGUCUGCAUUCUUUGCCCUCUAAUCCAUUGGCCACACUUGUCCUCAGAGUGGCCUUUUAUGUUUUGCCCUACUCCCUAUGUGGCUGAUUUCCCCUGGCCUCCAAGCUGAAGUCAGCCCAGCAUUCAAGGCUCUGUAUGUUUCUCCCUUGUCAACCUCUCCAGUAUCUUUUUGAAGUAUGACUCAUCCUAUGCUUAGGCCAUACUGACCUAUGUCAUCUGUUUCUGCCUUUGCACGUGCUGUUCCACCUGCCUGAUGUGCCCUUCCCUAUGCUGGUCAUUCAGAAAACUUCUACUCAUCCAGCAAGACCCAUCUCAGAAGUCACCUUCUCUGUGAAGCCUACCUAGAUCAUCCUAGAUAUUGACAGCCUCUCCCUUCUUUUGUGCCCCAUUUGUAUAUUAUUUUUCCCUUGUAUACAAUACUUAUAUUACUUUAUUGUAAUUAUGUGUUUGUAUUCUGUCUCCCCAACAGGACUGUGAGCUCCUUAAGGGCAGGAUCAGUCCUAUUCUCUCUCACCCCAGGGCCUGCCUAGCACUGACUCUGGGACAAAUUAGGUCCCCAAUGAAUACAGAUGUCCCUUGCUAUCCAAAUUUUCCUAUGUACUCAAAACCUAGAAACAAAAUAGGUUAAGACAACAUGGCAUCCCACAUGAUUCUGAGUCCAUUGUCCAAUACCCGCUACCUGAAUUUAGGAGUUCUAUGGAUUUGGAUGGCAAGAGAUACUUGUGUAUGAAUGAAUUAAUUACUUAAUGAAUGAGGGCAUUCAAAGCUGAGAGCGUUCAUCAACUCUGGGCACAGACCUGCGUGAAGUUGGUGGAGAGGAGGGAAGGAGGGAACAUGGAGAUGCCAAGCCAGAGCCAAGAAAGUUGUUUUGCUUUGGAAUAUAUUAUUUUUGCAGGUUGCUAUAGUUACCGCUGUGAAAUUAAAAAUUAAAACCUUGUGAAAGAGAGAGGGUUGACUGAGAUGAGGCAGUUCCUUGACAGGCUGAGUUAUUUAUCUUUUCCCCAUGUAACAUCUGGUUAUGUGCUUGCAAAUUUAUUUUUAAUUCAGAGCUCUAAAAAGGAUUUCGUGGCAGUGCGAGGUGCCUGGAUGAUUGGCUUGGGAGGGAAAGGUUAGAGGGUGGUAUUUGGGGCCUGCUGGUGACCCCCAGCUUCUCUCCUGGCCCUUGCUCCUGCUUCUCACACAACCUCUAGGAAUCAAGGGGUAGCUCGAAUGUGUCUGGACCCCCUGCCAAUCAAGCAGCAGCCGUAACCAUGGUUCCCAGAUGCAGAGCCAGGAUGGAGGCUGCUGUCUGGUUCCUGUGGUUCUUUGAGUGUGAGGACAAGCAUGGCUGGGAGUGGGGAAGGUUUCGAGUUCCUAUCUCUCCAGUCUGUCUCCUAACUUGUGUGUCUCUGAGUGUCUCCUGGGAUCUUUCUGGACCCCUCAUUCUGCCUUCCAGAAAGACAACAACUGUGGUUUAGGGGAGGCACCACUGGCCAGAGUUAAGAGAUGUGGGAUCUGGGUCCAGCCCAGCCACUGCUGGCUGUGUGACCCGGGGAAAUCACCUUCCCUCUCUGGUCCCUGUUCUCUCCAUUCUUCAGAGACUGGUUGGAGGCUGCAGUCACGCAUUGGAUCCCUACUGUAGGAAUCUAAGUGAGCCUAAGGAGGUGCCAGCCAUCACUGGAGCCUAUUUUUGUGCUUUCGCCUGACUGCCCAAGGUGACAAGUUGGGAACCUGGGACAGGCUGCCCCAUGGGUUCCUUUACCCUACCAAGCUUCUUCCUUCCUCGUACCUUUGCACUCUGUGUUUUCUGCCUGGAGCUUUCUUCCCCUAGAUGUUCACAGGACUCCCUUCUCCGUCCCACCCAGUCUUAUACGUCACCUCCUCAGCAGGGACUCUCCGCCCAGCCAGUCUGGAAUGGCCUCGUCCUGCCUCCCCCACCUUGAAGCCUCUGCUUUUCUCUUCCAGCAUCUGCGCUGCCUGAUUUGCUGAGCACCUACUAUGCAUCAGACGCUGUGUUCUAGGCAAGGGGGAUACACCUGAUGGAAGAAGGUCCUUCCCUAGACGUAGCUAACAUCCCAGUGUGGGAGAUGACACGAAACAAGUAUGGUGGAAAUGAUGUCACGCCCACUCCAGGCCUAACCUCUAGGAGGACUGGCAGUUUCUGCUAUGGCCUCUGGGAGCCAUGAGCUGCCAUGAAAAAGGUCAAACUACUCUGCUGGAGACACCCACCUGGAGAAGCCCUGGGAUUCCAUGGAGAGGCAGACGGACCCAGCUGAGCUCAGUGUUCCAGCCAUCCCCACGAAAGCACCAGGAACCUGAGUGAAACCAUCUCGAUCCUCCAGCAUAGCACAAUCAGCAGCUGAAGAUCACUGAGUGACUCUAGUCGGCGCUCCAUGGAUCACUGAAGGAUCACCCAGCUGAGCCCUGCGCAAAUUUCUGACUCACAAAACUGUAGACGAUACAAUGGUUGUUGUUUGGGGGCAGUUUGUUAUGCUGUAGCAAUAAAUAGCCAGAAGAGACCAAGAGGCAGAAGUUGUUUGCUGAAAAUAAUGCAAAAAUUAUACCAGCCCUUGCCCAGCUACCUCCGGAUUUCUUGCUACAUGAAAAAAAAAAAAAAAAUCCCUAUUUGUUUAAGCCUCGUUGACACCUUGGGCUAUUGCUCAGUCCUCAGUUUUCCAUUUGUUAAAUGGAGCAUUAGCUCCUGUCUUACUACUUCCCAAAGGUGCCUGAGAGGGUAGAGUAAGAAUGAAGAAGAGAAGGCCUUUUUCAUGUAAUAUAAACAGUGCUUAUGUUCCCAAAGAUCAGCGAGUGACAUGCUCAAACAGUUAUAAUAUAUUUAAUGUGGUCAUAAUGGGAGUGAACUUGUCAUGAACCAAUUGCAAUGGAUUUUGGAAUCAGACACGUUAGGGCUUGAGGCUCUCAGCUCUGCUAGACAAACUUCUAACUUGACAAAUAGGCCAGUCAUUAAAUCUCUCCAAGCCUUAGUUCCCUCAUCAAUAAAGCACAGACGAUGUGAUUUCCCUCCGUUGAGUCUGUGUGAGGAUUAAAUUAAAUGAGAUUCAUCCAUCUAUUUGAUAAAUAUUGAAUAUCUCCUAGGGUCUAGGCCAAACACACUCUUGAUAUUGGUGGAGGCUGGUGUCCACUCACCCUUAAAUCUAAAUAUUUAAAAAUUAUAAAUCAGACCAAUACCUUCUCUUAAAUGUUCUAUCCUUCUCCUCAGUAAGUAUAACUUCUCAGCAGCCUGAAAGGCCAGGAUUGAUUUGGAUUUCUUAGAUACUCGCACUGAAAUGUGGCGGUGCUGGGGAGAGCCAGCCCCAUUCCCUGGUCGCUCAUUUCCCAGCCUAUAAACUGCCACCUUCCCUUCUCAUCCCCAGCUCCAUCCUGUACCGUGCACACCUCACCUGCAUGUGUGUAGACAUCCCAGGCUGCAGGUCCAAUCUCCAUCCACACCCUAUCCUCUGCAGUGCCCCUUGGCUACACCCUGGGCUUAGUGUUCUGCCUCCAGACAAUAGACCAGGAAGAGGCCUGGCAGCAGGCUUGGGACUUUUAGGUAGGGAGCUCAGGAAUCCUAGGAAUCUGUAGUAUUCUAGACAAGGAGCAAAGACUUGGAUGGGUAUAUCCCCUUGGCACUGCAGACUCUCUAGCCUGUGGGGAUGUACGCAGCUGGAGGCUGGCCAGGGCAGAGCCCCGCUUGCCUGGGUCCAAGGAUGGGCUGGUCAGCCUGUGCUAGGUGCUGCAGGUACAUGAGUAGAUGAAGCAGAUACCACCCCUGCUUCUCCUACUCAAAGGUGAAGACACAUCCCUGAAGUCAGGGCCUCAGUCUUAGCCCUAUCUAUAAGAUGAGGGCUUACCUGAUCUGACAUCAGGUAAUGUUGGAGACUUGGUGUACGUCCUCAGGAAUGUCCUAGAAGCCAGGAGGUCAGAUGAGGAGGGGCAAGCUUAAGGCCUAAGCAAUCAACUUCCUCCUUGAACCUAAGGCUGGCAAGGCAGGAAGGGCACCCACCCUCUGGUCCAACUCCAUCCACGCAACUCCUUCAGUGGCCAUAACAACACAACUUCCCAUCACACCUAGAAUAAAAGUCCAGCUCCUUGCCGAGACCUGCAAAGCCUGCUACCCCCAGCUGCUGACCAUCUCCAGUCUCCUUACUACUGCUCACUGAGUUCCAUCCUUAUGUUCAUGAAACCCCACAUCUACUCUCCCACCUCAAGGCCUUUGCCCUUGCUGUUUUCUCUGCUGGACACGCCCAGCUCUUUGCAUGGCUAGUUCCUCUCACUGUGCAGGCCUCAGCUUACUCUCUUGCACAGAGACGUCCAUUGACAUCCUUUUAGGAGCAGCUCCUGUCUAGCCCCAGCUCUCUCUUGGGCGUGUCACCACUUUACAUCCUUCCUAGUACAGCCAAAACUGGUGUAAUGGAGUGUGCAAAAGCUUCCACUUGGGGCUGGACUGGCUGGGUCGAAACCCAGGCUGGGCCCAAUAUUCUCAAGUGCCGAGCCUACCUACUGCGCACUUGAGGCUAUUGUUCAACCUGGUUCCCCACAUAUCGUGCAACCUGUUGUUUCUCCACCUAUCGUGCAACCUGUUUCUCCACAUAUUGUUCAACUUCCUAUUUCCCUUCAAUAGAUUAUUCAACCAGCAUUUUCCUAUCUGUACAAGGGAGUGAGGAUUACAUGACCUAAUGUGCAUAUAGCAUAGAGCAGAGCCUGGCAUAAGCGCUGCAUUGGUGUUUGCUACGAUAUUAACACUUGUUGCUAUUUGAAAUUAUUUUGUCUGUAUGUUUCUUGUUUAUUUCCCUCUUCUCUCUGACAGGCAAACUCCCCACAACAGCCUCCUCAACGCUGCCUCCCACAGUGCUUGGACAAAAUAAUUACAGCAAGAUGCGGGCACUGAGCUGACUCCUUAUGUAGGACAUCCCAGUGCAGGUAGAGAAACUGAGGGACAGUUGGAGGUUCCUUGCCCUUGGUGAUGCGGUGAGAGGGCCUGCAGGCACCAGCCCGGCCGCCCGCACCGCUUCUCGCGGACCCCAGCGGAGCCGCGCUUCUCGUGCCGCUCCUGAGGGUUUCCGCGGCGCCGGCGUUUUUGUUCCCGGCGCGUUUAAGUCGUUGAGGCCGAAUCAAGCGAAGGCGGAAAAGCGGCGCGCAGCCCGCGUCAGCUGCAGUUCCGUCCCCCUGGUUCCCGGUGCGCUAACAAAGGCAUUUGCAUGAAAACAGGAACCCCGUCUGCAGAAAGGACUCGUUGGCGGGGUGCAUCGUGCGCUCCAGUGCCCCUACCGCGGCGCCCCGCUCCCCAGGUGGGGAAGAAGCGGGGUGCGGGGACUGGCCCCAAACACGGCUCGGCCGGCGGGGACCGGCACGCUGCGGCCCGGGCGACCCCCUUCUCCGCCCCUUUCCCAGGCCGGCGGAAACGGCCGUCUCGGGCGUGGGCGCGCUUCUGCGGACUCCUCGGGACCUUUUACCCAGGCGUGCGGCCGGGGCGCCCGGGGCCUCGGGGAGCCGGCGCCAGCGUGCGGAGCGCAGCGGAGCGGAGGGAGCGGCGGGAGCGGCGUCCGUGGCUGGUCCAGGUCUGGGGCGCAGCCUCCAGGCUCGCCCUGCGCCGCUCUGGGCCUCGGCCUCUUCGCCUGUUCGACCGGGGCGCAAGCGUGUCACAGCGCCUGUCUGCAGGGGGAAGCGGGCUUCCCAGAGGGGCGCGUGGCUCGCAGAGGGGCUCCGGGAAUAUCCGCUCCGUUGGCCCUUUCCAGAGCUUUUCCUUAGCUGCUUCUCCUUUGAAAUCCGCCUUUUUCCCAGCAGCCCUUGGAGGCAGGAUAAAUUAAGUGGUAAAAGCAGAGGAUUAGGAACCGGGAACCCUGGAUUCAAAUCCUGCCCGCCGCUGACCAGCUUUGUAACCAUGAGCAGGUUACUCCGCCUCUGGAGGCCUCAGCUUCCCCGUCUGUAAAAUGGGGCCUAACACAGUCCAGAAAGUGCUUAGUGCCGCAGUGUCACACACCGAGUGCUUAAUUCAUUCUUAAAAUUAUCACUUCCAGCUGUGGGACAGGCGCAGGGUAGAAAGGGGUUUUCUUAAGGUCACAGGCGGGGUCAAAGGCAAACCCUCCGGGUCCUCACAAGUAAGACUUGCGAAGCAGCAAGUUCCCCAAAGGGUCUUAUCCAGCCGGGUAAGGAGCGCCGGGGCAUCUCCCCCCUCUCUCUCCGCGAAGACGCACAAGCAAUGGCUGGCGAACCUACUGCCUGGAAUGGGGUUCUUGGGUCGAGACCUUUAAAAAAAUAAAGAAGAGGAAGAAGAAAGAAAGAAAACAAACAAACAUGCACGCAAAAACGGAAUGCCAGAGCCUUUGAUCUAGGAGCCAGCUUGCUAUUCAGGGCCGACCACCGUCUCGCCGCAGUUCCUCCCCGGGAAGGAAGCCUCGCGCUGCCCUCCGGUGGCAGGCGAGGUAGUGUCGCCUGGGCGCAACUCACAAGCAGGGGUUUACCGGAGAAGCCAGCUUCGCUCUGCGCGGGUGGGGGCUGUGGGGGAGAGAGGAGGGAAAAUCGGAAUUGUUCCCUGACUGCUGUUUUUUGGUCCCGGUGGAUCUUGGGAGUCUUGGAAAGAGAAUAAUAAGGCUCUCUGCAUUUGAAAGGCAUAGGAGUUUUUACAUUCUGGUUUUAUUUAUUUUUGAAUGGAUAACACAUUUACACGAUUCAAAAGAUAAAAAAGAGGAUAGCGUGAAAAGGAAGUCUCGCUUCCACUCUUGUUCCCCAGGCACCCAGUUCCCCUUCCUAGAGACAGCCAUUGUUACAUGUUUCUGUGUACCCACCCGGAGACAGUCCAUGCAAAUGCAAGUAUUUUACAGGAUCAAUAGUAGCUUGCUCUGUAUACUCUUCUGCCUCUUGCUGCUUCGCUUAAAAAUGCAUCAUGGAGUUUGUUCCAUGUUGAUUCACAUAGGGCUGCCUCGUUCUUUUGAACAGCUGCAUAAUAUUCCAUUGUUUGGCUCUCCUGUAAUUAUUUGAUCAGUGUUCUAUUGAUGAGCCUUGAGGCUGCUUCUAAUCUUCUGUAAUCACAGUGUGUUACAACAAAUAAGCACCUACAUGCAUUGUUAUGCCUAGGUGCCAGUGAGGCACAUAGCUAUUGCGGUAUAACAAACCACUCCGAAAUUCAGUGGCUUUAAAUAGAAAGCUUUUGGUAUUGCUCAUGUGGGUCAGCUGGGUAGCACUGCUGAUCUGGGCCAAGCUCAGCUAACUUUGCAUUUGCUCCUUGUGUCUGGGAUCAGAAAGGGUGGGUCAGCUGGGGCUGGUUUAUUUAGGAUGGUCUAAAUCACAUGUCUGGUAGUUGACUGGCUAUCAGCUAGGGUUAGAGGGGUGUUCAGGCUAUGUGUCCGUCAACAUCUGAUAACAUGCAGUGCCUCCUGAGACUGUAUAACUGGUGUGAAUUUACAUCCAUUACAUUCUGUUGGUGCAAACAUGUCACAAGCCAGCCCAG